GUUAUAUCCCUGGUCAAAUAAAGGAGUGACUGAGUCAUCUCCCCGGGCAUUGCCUGGGCCUGUCCCUCACAUGCCCUGGCAUGUCCCUCACCCUACCACAUGGCUCAAACACCCUGAAGUCUUCAGAAGUGGUGAUAUGCACGUAGAGGAUAGCAGGAGAAAAAGAAGACAGGAGACAAGAUAUAAUAGAAUCAUAGAAUCAUGAAGGCUGGAAAAGACCUUCAAGAUCAGCUAGGCCAACCCUCAACCCAUCACCACCUCUCUCAGCAUUGCCCAGAUACUUUGGAUUGCUCUGUGUAUCUGUUGUACACAAAGAAGCUUUCAGAUGCCAGCCAAACACACGAAGAUUGCAAGAGCAAGAACUUGGACAGCAGUGUAGAUAUCAAAAGAGACGGCAGCCCAGGCAGAAGACAUUAAUUUUUCUGCUAUAAAACUGCCCCCCUUGGACAAUCAGCUCACCUAGAGAUCUACUGCUUGCUCAGAAGAGGCUGUUGUGGACUUCUCUGGGUCCAGGACUUCACCAAUGGCCAGGUGCGAAACUCAGCAGUUGAAGCAAUGGGAAGAAAUGAAUGUUUGUGAAUUUGUAUCAUUCUCUCUGUUCCACAGACAUGAGGCUGAGAGUGG
Molecule: long non-coding RNA, 624 nt
Filed under: Gallus gallus (chicken)
Lineage: Eukaryota; Metazoa; Chordata; Aves; Galliformes; Phasianidae
Description: long non-coding RNA NONGGAT008411
Source: RNAcentral